UCAUGAAUUGCUAGCAUCUUUACUCUCAAGGAUCGGACAUGACCCCAAAAAUACCCUCUGUCGCUGCCCGGCUCCCCAAAGAAGCUCACAGGACUAACAUAGACAUAACAUGGUGUCUGGUCCACAGAGAGCUCACAUGGACUUUCCUACAGGUACUCGUCCGGCUCUCAAAGGACUUAGACAAGACUCAAUGACAGAUAUGGGCUAUUGGAGUCGCCUUGGUCCAAACCUACCUCAGCAUCAACAUGAAAUAAUGCAAUGCAACAUAUUCGUGAACUAGUGCAAUCAACCUACUAUACAUGAUCAUGAUGCAUGCUCAUGCUUUAGGCAUUAGAAUUUCUUAAAAUAAAACAUUAAGUUUAGUUCUACUCACCUCCUGGCAGACGCCGACUGACUCUGCACCUGCUAGCACUACUGGCCUCCUCGGUCCCUCGGGUCCGAUCCUACACAGGUGGACUCGAAUGAGGUGCCAAACACAUCCUAACAACUCAUAAACAACUCCCCAAAAACCUCUCUAAACAUCACUUAAACAUGCAUGGAAAACACCCAAGAAACGGCUGGACAGGGCACUUUCGGCGGCACCUUCGGCGGCCGAAAGUCCCUUCCAGAGACGAAACUCGGGCAGGUUCGGCGGCAGGUUCGGCGGCCGAAACCCUUGGACAGAUCCGAAAGUCCCUCCUUCGGGGGCACAUUC
This 694-nucleotide long non-coding RNA is filed under the name Manihot esculenta (cassava). RNAcentral describes it as "long non-coding RNA (MESC_LNC000954)". Lineage: Eukaryota; Viridiplantae; Streptophyta; Magnoliopsida; Malpighiales; Euphorbiaceae. The record is from RNAcentral.